GUAGGUGGCAAGCGUUGUCCGGAAUUAUUGGGCGUAAAGCGCGCGCAGGCGGUUCUUUAAGUCUGAUGUGAAAGCCCACGGCUCAACCGUGGAGGGUCAUUGGAAACUGGAGAACUUGAGUACAGAAGAGGAAAGCGGAAUUCCACGUGUAGCGGUGAAAUGCGUAGAGAUGUGGAGGAACACCAGUGGCGAAGGCGGCUUUCUGGUCUGUAACUGACGCUGAGGCGCGAAAGCGUGGGGAGCAAACAGGGAUUAGAUACCCUGGUAGUCCACGCCGUAAACGAUGAGUGCUAAGUGUUAGGGGGGUUUUCCCGCCCCCGUUAGUGCUGCAGCUAACGCAUUAAGCACUCCGCCUGGGGGAGUACGGCCCGCAAGGCUG
Molecule: ribosomal RNA, 379 nt
Filed under: uncultured organism
Description: partial 16S ribosomal RNA
Rfam family: Bacterial small subunit ribosomal RNA
Source: RNAcentral